RNAcentral lists this ribosomal RNA (4874 nucleotides) under Brassica napus (rape). RNAcentral describes it as "rRNA LSU_rRNA_eukarya". The stretch from base 503 to 4874 matches the Rfam family "Eukaryotic large subunit ribosomal RNA", at positions 2389 to 3399 of the family's 3401-position model. The record is from RNAcentral. Lineage: Eukaryota; Viridiplantae; Streptophyta; Magnoliopsida; Brassicales; Brassicaceae.
GAUGGAACAAUGUAGACAAGGGAAGUCGGCAAAAUGGAUCCGUAACUUUGGGAAAAGGAUUGGCUCUGAGGGCUGGGCUCGGGGGUCCCUGUUCCGAACCCGUCGACUGUUGGCGGGCUGCUUGAGCUGCUAACGUGGCGAGAGCGGACCGCCUCGUGUCCGCCGGGGGAUGGACUGGGAAUGGCUCUUUCGGGAUCUUUCCCCGUGCGUCGAACAGCCAACUCAGAACUGGUACGGACAAGGGGAAUCCGACUGUUUAAUUAAAACAAAGCAUUGCGAUGGUCCCUGCGGAUGCUAACGCAAUGUGAUUUCUGCCCAGUGCUCAGAAUGUCAAAGUGAAGAAAUUCAACCAAGCGCGGGUACACUGCGGGAGUAACUAUGACUCUCUUAAGGUAGUCAAAUUCUUCGUCAUCUAAUUAGUGAUGCGCAUGAAUGGAUUAACGAGAUUCCCACUGUCCCUGUCUACUAUCCUGCGAAACCACAGCCUAGGGAACGGGCUUGGCAGAAUCAGCGGGGAAAGAAGACCCUGUUGAGCUUGACUCUAGUCCGACUUUGUGAAAUGACUUGAGAGGUGUAGAAUAAAUGGGAGCUCCGGUGCAAGUGAAAUACCACUACUUUUAAUGUUAUUUUACUUACUCCAUGAAUCGGAGGCGGGGUAACUGUAACGCCCGAAUCCGGCCUUUCGACGAAACUGGACCCGUUUGCUACUUAAUCAAUUUCUUUGCUUGUUUGAUUCAUUUUAAGUCUUUCCUUUACUAAGUCAUGUUCGAAUCUGAGGUUCUAAAACAAUUGAACAGAUAACACAGCGGAAUAUAAAUGUGUAUAAAAUGUAUUACUUAGAAACAUGAGAUCCAAUACACAACUUCUUAAUCAUUUCAUAGAAAAUCAUUAGUUCAUCCCUAGCAUCAUCUACCACACGUUACACAGCCUCUCACUGGCCGAGCCUUCACGGCUCCUUGGCUUGACCAGAACCAUCCUUAGUUCCUGAAACCACAACCAGAUAAGCACUACUCAUAACCGAGAAUAGAACUUGUCGAUUCUACAAUGCUUGGCUUGGUUCCUAGAACACAGAUAAAACUCAGACAAUAUACUUAUAAAAAGAUAUGAACCUGCCUACCAAAUCCUAAGUCAUUCAACCAACCACCCCUUGACAUAGAAUCAGAUAGACAGUCCAGAAUAGAUAAACAGAACACACGAACAGUCCGGAUCGUCCCGAAAACCAAUUCGUCCAUCCGGAUAGAAUCUAGGUGCGACCGGCCUAGAUGAAGUCCGACUCAAUGGCCCAACAGACUUCCUUACCUGAUCCGGCCUUGGGCCUGGAUCCAAUGGCCGAAUAAGCCUCACACCCAAUCCGGUUAGGCGAAACGGCCGAUCGGACCUUGCGACUCUUACCCUGGCUUAGACGAACCAUGUACUUGUCGCAAUGGACAAGACAUGGUCUGAUCCCUUAACGAACGUACACAACCUGUCUCAACAGGCACCGUUUGGAACAUGCACCCCUUUGGUCUUUGGUACCUCUUGGUCCUCGUACCUCUUGAUCCUUGUACCUCUUGAUGUUCGUAACCCUUUGUUACUUACAUCCUUUGGCAACUCACAACCUUUGGAACUUGUGACCUUUGGUAACUCACAACCCUUGGUAACUCGUGACCUUUGGCCACUCGUGCCUCUUGGGACAUGACCAACGGUUUAGCCCAACUGCCCAGUCUAUGGUGCGAUUCGAACAGACUAUCUAACCUACCAGCGUCUAGGUUAGCGGUUUGGUUAUAACCGGCCAAGUCUAUGGACGUGUCCCUUGGACUGAACCAACACAACCCUUCGUGUAUAAUCAGAAAGAAGAGAAAGGACCAGAUAGAAACACGAAAAGGAGAAGCGGUUAGGUCUAAUGAACCGACCAGAGCCGUGGUGCGAUCACAAGGACCGUCCGUUCGGUCUGAUGCGGCAAUAGCCUACCAUGUACCUUCUGAACCGUGUCAGGGUUCUCCAUGUUCUUCUCCUGCUCUCGGUCUCCCAUACUUGAUCGGAGGUUACUUCUCAAACAAUCAGAUCACCGGAAACCUAACCACCACACAAACGGCCUUGCUUUGGCCAGAAACUCUCUCUCUCUCUUUCUUUCUCUCUUUCUACGAUUUCUCUGAGUAUUUUUACUCUGGAUUGGAUGCAUGAAAUCGACAGAGAGGACCCCAUAUUUAUAUAAAACGAGGGGCUAAGUCUUGCCCCACAAACAGGCAUGACUGGCCAGCAGAUGGGCACAAUCGGCCAAGGGUUACACCCUCUCGGCCGCAUGCGUCCCUUCGCCAAUACCGUAUGGGUUUGGGUCGGACAGAGGCCCGAGGCCUUACCCAAUCCCUCUGGACUUAGCCCACGGCCUUGUCCCAAGCCCCAACGGUCCAUGACCUCAUGGCCGGACCCCCAUGGCCCGCCACCAGCCCGGACCCGGACCAUUGGACCGAAACCCGAACAGUCCGUCCAGCUGAGAUGAACUGGCUCCCAGCUGCCUCUGCUGAGUAAUAUAGUAGUUCAGCUAGUGCAGCUGACUUAGUAGUGGCCGAGCUGGAGUGAGCUUAACCUAACUCCGUUGAGCUGGUCGAGCUACCUGUUCCAUCCGUCCAGCUACCGUCUUACUCGUCCUAGCUGACUCUGAACUUGUGUAAGGUUAAGUCUAUGUUUCCUUACGUCCUUAACCUUCUUAUCUGGCCAUGGAACACUUGUCUUGAUGUUCUAAGACUUACUAGUACGUUUCCUCGAAGCAUGGCCGUCCCAAUGAUCCUAUUCAGGAUCCGGGAUGUUACAGUAACAACUGUGGGAACCGAAAUUUACACUGUUGAUUUUCGUUAAAAUAAGGAAACUAGGAAAGCCCUAAUUUCCUAGAGGUCCCGGAUAUCUGCUAAUACCACACGUCAAGCAAUCAGAACACUAGAAUAACAACGAUAAAGUAUAAGAAAUCGAAAAGAGAGCAAAGUAGAUCUUAUUCCGAAUUCGCGGCGAGAGCCUGGGCUACGAGAGCUGUCGGCGAGAUUCCUAGUUCUAAAACCCUAAGACGGCAAUAACCAAAUUGAGUCACAGCUCGAAUAACAAAAACGGAAAUAUGCCUAAAUUGCUCUCAAAAGUUCUCUCUCCAUGCCUCUCACCUAGGACUCCUUAUAUACUCUCUCCAAGGUCGGUUUAUGCUUUUACUCUUCUGCCCUUAAGCCGUCAUAGCAUAAAAUGGAGAUAUUCCAUUUUUUCCGAUCAUCGUAAUUAUCUUCAAAAUUUCAUGUUUAUCCGCGGAAACUUGACAUUUAUCCUUCAUUGCGCGCCAAGCGUAAACCGUCCUAUGGUUUACGGGCUUUUGGUUAAGAAAUCGUAAGAUGGGCCUCGAGUCGUGUCUUAGGUCCCUUUGGUCCGUCUUCCGACUCGGAACGUUUAUUACGACUUCUUUUGAUAAAGAACGAACUUUCCGUGGUUUUUACCGCAAAGUUUGAUCGAUGACUUUGAAUGGCGGAAAACAUGAACUGAGUUCGCUACGGUCUUCGGGAGAUAGCAUCGAAGGAUAGACAAGAAUGCAUGGGCUGGUGUCAUAUCGACGUUUCGGAAGAGCUUGGUCAGUACAUAGCAACCGAGUGGGAUGAACGCUCGGUUGCUACAUAGCGACCGAUCUUGGCCGAGCUCGGUCGCUACGUAGCGACUGAGCGGGAUGAACGCUCGGUCGCUACGUAGGGACCGAGCGGGACGAAUAGCGACCAAGCUUUGGUUCAAGCUUGUUUGCUACGUAGCGACCGAGCGGGACGGAUGCUUGGUCGCUACGUAGCGACCGGACAGCGUGCAUGUGCGGUAGUUGUGCAAUGACCGAGCUUGGUUUGUCUGUGUUCCGAUUGUCAUACUCGAACUUAUCCGUACUUGGUUUGGGUAUGUUUUCGAUGGCUUAUGUUUGAUCUAAAGGAAGUUCGAGAUGAAAAUUUAUCUCGAAAAGCUAUGUUGCGGAGAGUCAUACUUAUAUAUUGCGGAGAUUUGGACGUUAACUUCGUCGUGACCGUUUUCGACCCCAACAACAACCCCUUCCUUUAGACCCAAGACUCGCUUUGGCGGGUCAAUCCGGGCGGAGGACAUUGUCAGGUGGGGAGUUUGCCUAGGGCGUCACAUCUGUUAAAAUAUAACGCAGGUGUCCUAAGGUGAGCUCAACGAGAACAGAAAUCACGUGUGGAACAAAAGGGUAAAAGCUCGUUUGAUUCUGAUUUUCAGUACGAAUACGAACCGUGAAAGCGUGGCCUAUCGAUCCUUAAGACCUUCGGAAUUUGAAGCUAGAGGUUUCAGAAAAGUUACCACAGGGAUAACUGGCUUGUGGCAGCCAAGCAUUCAUAACGACGUUUCUUUUUGAUCCUUCGAUGUCGGCUCUUCCUAUCACUGUGAAGCAGAAUUCACCAAGUGUUGGAUUGUUCACCCACCAAUAGGGAAUGUGAUCUGGGUUUAGACUGUCGUGAGAUAAGUUAGUUUUACCCUACUGAUGCCCGCGUCGCAAUAGUAAUUCAACCUAGUAUGAGAGGAACCGUUGAUUCGCACAAUUGAUCAUCGCACUUGGUUGAAAAGCCAGUGGCGCGAAGCUACCGUACGCUGAAUUAUGACUGAACGCCUCUAAGUUAGAAUCUGUCCUAGAAGCGACGCAUGUGCCUGCCGCCCGAUUGCCGACCCUCAGUAGGAGCUUCGGCUCCCAAAGGCACGUGUCGUUGGCUAAGUUCGUUCGGCGGAAGCACCGUUCGGACCGCCUUGAAUUAUAAUUACCACCGAGCGGCGGGUAGAAUCCUUUGCAGAUGACUUAAAUACACGACGGGGUAUUGUAAGUGGCAGAGUGGCCUUGCUGCCACGAUCCACUGAGAUUCAGCCCUUUGUCACUAAGAUUC